RNAcentral lists this ribosomal RNA (293 nucleotides) under uncultured bacterium. RNAcentral's name for it is "partial 16S ribosomal RNA". It matches the Rfam family "Bacterial small subunit ribosomal RNA", at positions 775 to 1067 of the family's 1533-position model. The record is from RNAcentral.
GGAUUAGAUACCCUGGUAGUCCACGCCGUAAACGAUGUCUACUAGCCGUUGGGCUCCUUGAGAGCUUUGUGGCGCAGCUAACGCGAUAAGUAGACCGCCCGGGGAGUACGGUCGCAAGAUUAAAACUCAAAUGAAUUGACGGGGGCCCGCACAAGCGGUGGAGCAUGUGGUUUAAUUCGAAGCAACGCGAAGAACCUUACCUACUCUUGACAUCCAGAGAAUUUGCUAGAGAUAGCUUAGUGCCUUCGGGAACUCUGUGACAGGUGCUGCAUGGCUGUCGUCAGCUCGUGCUG